This 307-nucleotide small nuclear RNA is filed under the name Saimiri boliviensis boliviensis (Bolivian squirrel monkey). RNAcentral's name for it is "7SK RNA (ENSSBOG00000002737.1)". It matches the Rfam family "7SK RNA". From Rfam's summary of the family: 7SK was discovered as an abundant small nuclear RNA in the mid-70s but a possible function has only recently been suggested. Two independent studies have found that 7SK RNA binds the CDK9/cyclin T complex (known as elongation factor P-TEFb). Lineage: Eukaryota; Metazoa; Chordata; Mammalia; Primates; Cebidae. The record is from RNAcentral.
GGAUGUGAGGUUAUCUUGCUGUGCCAUCUGUCACUCCAUUGAUCACCAGGGUUGAUUCAGCUGAUCUGGCUAGCUAGGUGGAAGUCCUCUUCCUCCCUCACCACUCCAUGUGCAUCCCUCCCAAGGCUGUACACUUGGUCAAACAGGACAACCAUCCUCAACAGAGGAGUACCAGUCUUUGGUCAAGCCGCUUGAGUAGCUGUACUCCCCUGCUAAAACAUCCAAACAAGCUCUCAAGAAUGAAUAAGACCUAUUAUUAGAUAGUACAAUAAGAUGACUAAAGUCAAUAACAACUUAAUUGUACAUU